RNAcentral lists this small RNA (500 nucleotides) under Malus domestica (apple). RNAcentral's name for it is "sRNA MD05G0049300". The record is from RNAcentral. Lineage: Eukaryota; Viridiplantae; Streptophyta; Magnoliopsida; Rosales; Rosaceae.
UUAAUAAUAGUAUCUUAUUCAACUUAUACACCUUGGUUUCUUCAAUUUCCUUCACAAAACCUUGUGCUAGAGGCUUUUUCUCCACACAUGACAUUUGCUCAACAUAGACUUCUUCCUUCAAGACCCCACUUAGAAAGGUUGACUUAACAUCCAGUUGAUAUUGAUUCCAUUUCUUAUGUGUAGCAAGUGCAUCAAGGUUCUUAUAGUAUCCAAUCUUGCCACAGGAGCAAAAAUCUCAUUGUAGUCAAUUCCAGGUUUCAGUGAGUAACAUUUGGCUACUAAUUUGGCUAUAUUUUUCUGUAUUAAGUCAUCCAGAUUAAGUUUGGUUUAGUAAAAGGUUAGAAGUGAGUGUAGGAUUAUAACCCUCCAGCCGAUGCUUGGAGGCAAAAAACAAGUUUAAAAGAGAUUUUAAUAUUUGUUCUUAGUUUAAAUUAAAGUCGUUGGAUCAUAGUCCAUAUGGAUGCAGUUGCUUGUAUCUAGCUUAAGUGAUAGAUUAUGAC